Molecule: ribosomal RNA, 773 nt
Filed under: uncultured bacterium
Lineage: Bacteria
Description: bacterial SSU rRNA
Rfam family: Bacterial small subunit ribosomal RNA
Source: RNAcentral
AGAGUUUGAUCCUGGCUCAGGACGAACGCUGGCGGCGUGCUUAACACAUGCAAGUCGAACGGAAAGGCCCUUCGGGGUACUCGAGUGGCGAACGGGUGAGUAACACGUGGGUGAUCUGCCCUGCACUUUGGGAUAAGCCUGGGAAACUGGGUCUAAUACCGAAUAUGACCACGCGCCUCCUGGUGUGUGGUGGAAAGCUUUUGCGGUGUGGGAUGGGCCCGCGGCCUAUCAGCUUGUUGGUGGGGUAAUGGCCUACCAAGGCGACGACGGGUAGCCGGCCUGAGAGGGUGACCGGCCACACUGGGACUGAGAUACGGCCCAGACUCCUACGGGAGGCAGCAGUGGGGAAUAUUGCACAAUGGGCGCAAGCCUGAUGCAGCGACGCCGCGUGAGGGAUGACGGCCUUCGGGUUGUAAACCUCUUUCAGCACAGACGAAGCGCAAGUGACGGUAUGUGCAGAAGAAGGACCGGCCAAAUACGUGCCAGCAGCCGCGGUAAUACGUAGGGUCCGAGCGUUGUCCGGAAUUACUGGGCGUAAAGAGCUCGUAGGUGGUUUGUCGCGUUGUUCGUGAAAACUCACAGCUUAACUGUGGGCGUGCGGGCGAUACGGGCAGACUUGAGUACUGCAGGGGAGACUGGAAUUCCUGGUGUAGCGGUGGAAUGCGCAGAUAUCAGGAGGAACACCGGUGGCGAAGGCGGGUCUCUGGGCAGUAACUGACGCUGAGGAGCGAAAGCGUGGGGAGCGAACAGGAUUAGAUACCCUGGUAGUCCAA